UGCGCGCGUUGCGGUUUCUACCGCUGCUGACUUGACAGCGGUUUCGGAGGAGAAUCGAUAGGAAAUAAGCAUGUCCACUUCACUGCCUGCCUGCCUGCCUGCCUGUACUCCCCUAUGCCCAGUUCUGUUUCACCUCCCCUGUGGUUCAGAGACAGUGCGUUCAACCCUCCCACUGCUGAUCCGAGUUCAAGUGCCAGCUGCGCUGAGCCACGUUCCUUCCCCCCAUGGGGGAACACCAAACUUUACUAAGGUUUGAUUAUUGUUAUGCCGUACUGUCUGGAUGCUCCAGUACAUGCAUAAAUAAGCUCCAGUUAGUCCAGAAUGCAGCAGCAAGAAUCCUUACUAGAAUCAGAAGGUAUGACCACAUCACCCCUAUCUUAUCCACACUGCAUUGGCUCCCAAUCAAAUUUCGUAUUGAUUAUAAAAUUCUACUAUUGACCUAUAAAGCACUAAACGGUCUCGCGCCACAGUACCUGAGUGAACUUUUGGUCUUUUAUGAUCCUCCACGCCUACUCAGAUCAAAAGGUGCAGGCUAUUUGUUGGUAUCUCGAAUAGUACGUGCUACAGCUGGGGGUAGAGUUUUCUCUUACAAAGCCCCACAGUUAUGGAACAACCUUCCACUUAGUGUUCGAGGCUCAGACACAGUCUCAGUGUUUAAGUCUAUGCUGAAAACAUAUUUGUUUAGUCAAGCCUUUAGUGAAUAGUUUUCUUAGGAACAGGGGCAGGUCUGGAGGGUUCACAGGGAUAGAGUGUUGUGGUGAACUGGGAUGUUUGGAUGCUGACGCGUUCACUCAGGUUUGUCUACAGUGGAGUGGCUGGCUGCCUUAUGUCCCAGGGUGCCCUCAUGUCUGUGUUAGCUUCUGGCUCUCCCUUUUAGUUUUAGUUAUGCUGUCAUAGCUAGUCUUGCUGGAGUCCCUGCUUGCACUCUGCACGCAAAGUACAUUGUCUUUAACCAUUAGAGGACAAAAGCUUACUUAAUCUCUCUCUCUCUCCAUCUCUCUCUCUCCCCCUCUCGCUCUCCGUCGAGCUACACAUGCUACUUCUGAGAUGCCAGUGAUCCUGACCCCUUCUACUCCUCCUCGCUGCCUGACCCAUCCUGAUGCCCCUUCUGCUCCUCCUCGCUGCGUGACCUAUCUUGAUGCCCUAAUUCUGGUUGGAGUUCUCAUCUGUUGAGUUCGCUUGCUGCUGCUGGGGGCGGCCCCAUAUGGACGGUCUGAAGAACCAUUUGGUUUGCUGGGGAUAGUCCCACCUGGGGGCUGUGGAGAUGGCUUGGGGAUCACAUAUGGGGAGCUGUACUGUAAUGGCCUGGGACUGCGAUUGCUGUAGUGGCUUUGGGGCUGCGGUUGCCAUGAACACCUUCGUACUCAGGACUCCAUCAGUGGACAGUGGAUAGAUUUUAACCAACCAGACUUCUUGCAAAAACUGUGAUGAAUUUAUUGGUUGCACAAUUGCACUAUUUGUCCAUAUAGUACACAAUAAUAGAAGGGAUUUAUUUAUAAUUGCACUAUCCGUUGCGCCCAGAGGAUGGAUUCCCUUUUGAACCUGGUUCCUAUCAAGGUUUCUUCCUCAUAUCAUCUCAGGGAGUUUUUCCUUGCCAUCAUCGCCUCUGGCGUGCUCAUUAGGGAUAAAUUCACAUAUUUACAAUAUAUUUUUUGUGAAUCCAUUUAUUUCUGUAAAGCUGCUUUGUGACAAUGUCCAUUGUUAAAAGCGCUAUACAAAUAAAAUUGAAUUGAAUGUCUCAACUCUCAUUAUCCUUCAAUAAAAUCUGUUCAAGAGAUUUCAA
Pangasianodon hypophthalmus (striped catfish) is the source of this 1783-nucleotide long non-coding RNA. RefSeq lists it as uncharacterized. The transcript has 3 exons. The record is from RefSeq and is a predicted model, not a curated record. NCBI's taxonomy places the organism in Eukaryota, Metazoa, Chordata, Actinopteri, Siluriformes, Pangasiidae.